RNAcentral lists this ribosomal RNA (250 nucleotides) under uncultured bacterium. Its description in RNAcentral is "partial 16S ribosomal RNA". It matches the Rfam family "Bacterial small subunit ribosomal RNA", at positions 524 to 773 of the family's 1533-position model. The record is from RNAcentral.
GACGAACCGUACAAACGUUAUUCGGAAUCACUGGGCUUAAAGGGUGCGUAGGCGGCGCUGAAAGUUGGGUGUGAAAUCCCUCGGCUUAACCGAGGAACUGCGCCCAAAACUGCAGUGCUUGAGGGAGAUAGAGGUGAGCGGAACUUAGGGUGGAGCGGUGAAAUGCGUUGAUAUCCUAAGGAACGCCAGGGGCGAAAGCGGCUCACUGGGUCUCUUCUGACGCUGAGGCACGAAAGCUAGGGUAGCGAAC